GAUGAACGCUGGCGGCGUGCCUAAUGCAUGCAAGUCGAGCGAACAGACGAGGAGCUUGCUCCUCUGACGUUAGCGGCGGACGGGUGAGUAACACGUGGAUAACCUACCUAUAAGACUGGGAUAACUUCGGGAAACCGGAGCUAAUACCGGAUAAUAUAUUGAACCGCAUGGUUCAAUAGUGAAAGACGGUUUUGCUGUCACUUAUAGAUGGAUCCGCGCCGCAUUAGCUAGUUGGUAAGGUAACAGCUUACCAAGGCAACGAUGCGUAGCCGACCUGAGAGGGUGAUCGGCCACACUGGAACUGAGACACGGUCCAGACUCCUACGGGAGGCAGCAGUAGGGAAUCUUCCGCAAUGGGCGAAAGCCUGACGGAGCAACGCCGCGUGAGUGAUGAAGGUCUUCGGAUCGUAAAACUCUGUUAUUAGGGAAGAACAAAUGUGUAAGUAACUAUGCACGUCUUGACGGUACCUAAUCAGAAAGCCACGGCUAACUACGUG
RNAcentral lists this ribosomal RNA (497 nucleotides) under uncultured bacterium. RNAcentral describes it as "partial 16S ribosomal RNA". It matches the Rfam family "Bacterial small subunit ribosomal RNA", at positions 28 to 507 of the family's 1533-position model. The record is from RNAcentral.